GUGAUUUUCAGCUGGUAGCUUUUUAGCACUAGGCCAAGGCAUCAAGCAAUGGAUGAUAAAAAGGCCAAUGGGCUGCUGUCUGAUUACUUUAAAAGCCGCUUUGCAGACAAACUGAAAAGCCAUGUAUUGUAAGAGGAUUUAGAAAUAAGAAUGUACUUCGUCAUUUAAUCUUUUGAAGUGUUCAUGAUUGGAUUUCAUUGUAUUUUGUGUUUUAUUGUAUAUGGCAGCAAUACUGGACCUCCCCAGGCCUUCUUCGCUGCUACCACCCGUCUUACUCAGAGGCGACGAGAAGAGAAGGACAUUCACAAGGAACUUGAUUUGACUCUAAAUUCCCAAAGAGUCAGGAAAGAGACGUUGGAACAGAAAGAGAUCAAGAUCAAGGAGAGACUGAAGAAUUUUGACCAGUAUCUCAAGGAGAUGAAAGUGAAACAAUGCCAAGCUUGGAAGAAGGCAAAGCAGGAGAAGGAACUAACCCUCCACAAAGCAGAGAAACUACAAACUCUAAAAGAAGAGCUCCAGGAGCUUAUCAUUAAGAGGGAUAGGCUGAACAAGCUAGUGGAAAAGUAUCAGAUCUACCCCAAUUACUU
Molecule: long non-coding RNA, 587 nt
Organism: Pygocentrus nattereri (red-bellied piranha)
Lineage: Eukaryota; Metazoa; Chordata; Actinopteri; Characiformes; Serrasalmidae
Source: Ensembl